UGCCAGCCGCCGCGGUAAUACGGAGGGGGUUAGCGUUGUUCGGAAUUACUGGGCGUAAAGCGCACGUAGGCGGAUCGGAAAGUUGGGGGUGAAAUCCCAGGGCUCAACCCUGGAACUGCCUCCAAAACUACUAGUCUUGAGUUCGAGAGAGGUGAGUGGAAUUCCGAGUGUAGAGGUGAAAUUCGUAGAUAUUCGGAGGAACACCAGUGGCGAAGGCGGCUUCCUGGCCUAAUACUGACACUGAGGCGCGAAAGCGUGGGUAGCAAACAGGAUUAGAUA
This 279-nucleotide ribosomal RNA is filed under the name uncultured bacterium. RNAcentral's name for it is "partial 16S ribosomal RNA". It matches the Rfam family "Bacterial small subunit ribosomal RNA", at positions 506 to 784 of the family's 1533-position model. The record is from RNAcentral.